RNAcentral lists this small nucleolar RNA (85 nucleotides) under Bison bison bison. Lineage: Eukaryota; Metazoa; Chordata; Mammalia; Artiodactyla; Bovidae. The record is from RNAcentral.
GAGCACUGUUCGUGACCUGCUGGUCUGCCUGUGGCUGGCGGGUUCCAUUCCGGUGCCAUAGCAGCUCCAGCACCACGUGACUGAC